ACCUGAUGGCUCAGUUGGUAGAGCAUAUGACUCUUGAUCUUGAAGUUGUGAGUUUGAGCCCCACAUUGGGUU
RNAcentral lists this transfer RNA (72 nucleotides) under Canis lupus dingo (dingo). It matches the Rfam family "tRNA". From Rfam's summary of the family: Transfer RNA (tRNA) molecules are approximately 80 nucleotides in length. Their secondary structure includes four short double-helical elements and three loops (D, anti-codon, and T loops). Further hydrogen bonds mediate the characteristic L-shaped molecular structure. tRNAs have two regions of fundamental functional importance: the anti-codon, which is responsible for specific mRNA codon recognition, and the 3' end, to which the tRNAs corresponding amino acid is attached (by aminoacyl-tRNA synthetases). tRNAs cope with the degeneracy of the genetic code in two manners: having more than one tRNA (with a specific anti-codon) for a particular amino acid; and 'wobble' base-pairing, i.e. permitting non-standard base-pairing at the 3rd anti-codon position. Lineage: Eukaryota; Metazoa; Chordata; Mammalia; Carnivora; Canidae. The record is from Rfam by way of RNAcentral.